Molecule: ribosomal RNA, 467 nt
Filed under: uncultured bacterium
Lineage: Bacteria
Description: bacterial SSU rRNA
Rfam family: Bacterial small subunit ribosomal RNA
Source: RNAcentral
GAUGAACGCUGGCGGCGUGCUUAACACAUGCAAGUCGAACGGUGACAGCAAUGUCACAGUGGCGCACGGGUGAGGAACACGUAGCUAACCUGCCCUCAAGUAUGGGAUAACUUCCCGAAAGGGAUGCUAAUACCGUAUAAGCUCACGGGGAGUAAGUACCAGUGAGAAAAGGUUUACUGCUUGAGGAGGGGGCUGCGGCCCAUCAGGUAGUUGGUGAGGUAACGGCUCACCAAGCCGACGACGGGUAGGGGGUCUGAGAGGAUGGCCCCCCCACACUGGGACUGAGACACGGCCCAGACUCCUACGGGAGGCAGCAGUGAGGGAUCUUGCGCAAUGGGGGAAACCCUGACGCAGCGACGCCGCGUGGGUGAUGAAGGCCUUCGGGUCGUAAAACCCUUUUGCCACUGACGAGGAAGGACGGUAGGUGGCGAAUAAGCCUCGGCUAACUACGUGCCAGCAGCCGCGGU